UCGCUUUCUCUAUCUCUCUCUCCCGCUGCUUCCUUGGUUUAGUGUUGCCUGUGUUGUGCCCGAAAACAGUGUUGUAGAUUUUAUUGCGCUGUGCCCGUAAUCAUUGAGUGACCGCCCUGUGCGUGUGUUGCCGCGUCAGGAAGGGAGUGUUGCGUCUCCAGGAGGGUCUUCCCCUUCCGAGUGGCGUCCGCGCCUGCUUCCUUCGUCAGGCACCUCCCGCCUCACUCCUUGCUUCCUCCCGUCUCCCAGAGUCUACACACCUGCAGUCUUGAGGAGUUAGCAGCCAACGGCGUUAGGUUGCCAGGUGGACGAGUAGGACCGAGUGGUGUCAACGUGAGGGCAGUGUAGCUGAUCGUGUGGAAAGUGGGGUGCCAACUCCACUGGUUCUAAUUACAAGUCUGGUUGUAGUGCCGGACUGGAGCAACAAAUAUGCCCAUUGGAUCGAGAAUGUGUAGUGCACUGAUGUGGGUAAUGUGAACUGGAAAUAUAAAUAAGGAUUGAGACAAAAUGGUAUAUUAUGUUCCUUGUUACGUGGCACGGCUUCCUAUAAUCUCCGGCUACUCCUAAUUACGAGUAGAUGCCUGCCUUUCAGUGUGGUCAACGCCACGACACACCAGGUUUCCUUUAACAUUCUCUCUCUCUCUCUCUCUCUCUCUCUCUCUCUCUCUCUCUCUCUCUCUCUCUCUCUCUCUC
This is a long non-coding RNA of Scylla paramamosain (green mud crab), 693 nucleotides long. RefSeq lists it as uncharacterized. The transcript is spliced from 4 exons. The record is from RefSeq and is a predicted model, not a curated record. Lineage: Eukaryota; Metazoa; Arthropoda; Malacostraca; Decapoda; Portunidae.